RNAcentral lists this ribosomal RNA (400 nucleotides) under uncultured bacterium. Its description in RNAcentral is "bacterial SSU rRNA". It matches the Rfam family "Bacterial small subunit ribosomal RNA", at positions 355 to 748 of the family's 1533-position model. The record is from RNAcentral.
UCGAGAAUUUUUCUCAAUGGGGGAAACCCUGAAGGAGCGACGCCGCGUGGAGGAUGAAGGUCUUCGGAUUGUAAACUCCUGUCAUUGGGGAACAAACCACGGUGGUUAACUGCCAUCGUGCUGAUAGUACCCGAAGAGGAAGAGACGGCUAACUCUGUGCCAGCAGCCGCGGUAAUACAGAGGUCUCGAGCGUUGUUCGGAUUCAUUGGGCGUAAAGGGUGCGUAGGUGGUUCUGUAAGUCGGAUGUGAAAUCCCGGGGCUCAACCCCGGAACUGCAUUCGAUACUGCAGGGCUUGAGUGCUGGAGAGGAGAUCGGAAUUUACGGUGUAGCAGUGAAAUGCGUAGAUAUCGUAAGGAAGACCGGUGGCGAAGGCGGAUCUCUGGACAGCAACUGACACUG